RNAcentral lists this ribosomal RNA (560 nucleotides) under Bipolaris sorokiniana. RNAcentral's name for it is "eukaryotic LSU rRNA". The stretch from base 189 to 342 matches the Rfam family "5.8S ribosomal RNA". The record is from RNAcentral. Lineage: Eukaryota; Fungi; Ascomycota; Dothideomycetes; Pleosporales; Pleosporaceae.
CUGCGGAGGGAUCAUUACACAACAAAAUAUGAAGGCCUGGCUUCGCGGCCGGCUGAAAUAUUUUUUUCACCCAUGUCUUUUGCGCACUUGUUGUUUCCUGGGCGGGUUCGCCCGCCACCAGGACCAAACCAUAAACCUUUUUUUUAUGCAGUUGCAAUCAGCGUCAGUAAAAACAAUGUAAUUAUUACAACUUUCAACAACGGAUCUCUUGGUUCUGGCAUCGAUGAAGAACGCAGCGAAAUGCGAUACGUAGUGUGAAUUGCAGAAUUCAGUGAAUCAUCGAAUCUUUGAACGCACAUUGCGCCCUUUGGUAUUCCAAAGGGCAUGCCUGUUCGAGCGUCAUUUGUACCUUCAAGCUUUGCUUGGUGUUGGGCGUUUUUUGUCUCCCUCUUUCUGGGAGACUCGCCUUAAAACGAUUGGCAGCCGGCCUACUGGUUUCGGAGCGCAGCACAUAUUUUGCGCUUUGUAUCAGGAGAAAAGGACGGUAAUCCAUCAAGACUCUACAUUUUUAACUUUUGACCUCGGAUCAGGUAGGGAUACCCGCUGAACUUAAGCAUAUC